CAGUUGCCUGAGAGUAGAACUGUAUUUGAGAUAUGGAAACUCCUAUCUUAUAUCUAAAAAGCGUUGUUGCUACCUGGUUGAGCUCCAGUUCCACUUCCUGGGUGAUUGGGACCAUCAUCCCCAACGUGUGUGGACUGGGGCUCUUCCUCCUGUUCCUUCCCUCCCUCCAGAGGAAUUCGUCCUUACAACCACCUUACAAAAGGAGAAAGGUCAGGAAGUGUCAAGUGGAGCCGAGAGGGAGGAGCAGCAGGAGCAGGAAGAAAAGGGAAGCUUUGAAAGCUUACAGAGCUGGCUGGAAGGACCUGGCAGAAUUGGGGGGCCUGAUGUCCCUUUCACAAAGCUACCUGGGGAGGCUGUCUUCUAAGGGAUACUUCCAUCGCUUGUCAUCUCAAGACUCCCCUGGCGAAGCAUGCAAGACAGCGUCUGCUAGAGUCCACCAGCCACGCGGGAAGCCUGUGGAAGGUGCUCCUCUCACCAGGAAUCCAGCACUUUCCCUGGCUCUUCUGACCCAGUGCACUCUACCUUUGGCCUCCACUCUGC
RNAcentral lists this long non-coding RNA (540 nucleotides) under Equus asinus (donkey). Its description in RNAcentral is "lncRNA (ENSEASG00005033786.1)". The record is from RNAcentral. Lineage: Eukaryota; Metazoa; Chordata; Mammalia; Perissodactyla; Equidae.